GUUUUAUUAAGUAAUUUCUCUGUCUCUCUCAUCUUCUUCCUCUUGCCCUCCCCAUUCCCCCACCACGAGCGGUUGUGAUUCAUGUGCUAAACCUGGAGGACAGUACUCCACGCUAACCAGGAAGCGGCCUGAAAAGCCAUCUCUGGCACCAUAGUCUUCCAAAUACUUAGCCUCCUCUGAGUGAGAGUGUAGAGGAGGAAAUACCAUUGGAGUUAGCUUCCUGUGCAAACACAGGGCUCAGAAUAACGUUGUUUGUGAAACAGAGCAGUAUAUAUAGUCUGAUCUGAAGUGGAUCAGGGCCUGUGUCUACAGGAUGGAUUUAUCCUAAGAAAUAACAUCAAGGUCAGUCAGAGUUGCUGUGAAGUAAAUUACUGCCUCCAUCACUCCUCCCUGAUCUGAACCAGUUGUUCAGUGGUGGGAUGAGGUGUUUUUCCACAGUGGCAGUGAUGGCGCCAAGCCCAGGAGAUGAUUCCAGG
RNAcentral lists this long non-coding RNA (476 nucleotides) under Bos taurus (domestic cattle). RNAcentral's name for it is "long non-coding RNA NONBTAT014326". The record is from RNAcentral. Lineage: Eukaryota; Metazoa; Chordata; Mammalia; Artiodactyla; Bovidae.